Molecule: ribosomal RNA, 877 nt
Filed under: Usnea chaetophora
Lineage: Eukaryota; Fungi; Ascomycota; Lecanoromycetes; Lecanorales; Parmeliaceae
Description: eukaryotic LSU rRNA
Rfam family: Eukaryotic large subunit ribosomal RNA
Source: RNAcentral
AUUGACCUCGGAUCAGGUAGGGAUACCCGCUGAACUUAAGCAUAUCAAUAAGCGGAGGAAAAGAAACCAACAGGGAUUGCCUCAGUAACGGCGAGUGAAGCGGCAACAGCUCAAAUUUGAAAUCUGGCCCCGUCGGGGUCCGAGUUGUAAUUUGUAGAGAGUGUUUCGGGUGAGACCACGGUCUAAGUCUAUUGGAACAUGGCGUCAUAGAGGGUGAGAAUCCCGUAUGUGACCGUGGCUCGAACCCAUGUGAAGCCUCUUCGACGAGUCGAGUUGUUUGGGAAUGCAGCUCAAAAUGGGUGGUAAAUUUCAUCUAAAGCUAAAUACUGGCUGGAGACCGAUAGCGCACAAGUAGAGUGAUCGAAAGAUGAAAAGCACUUUGGAAAGAGAGUCAAAAAGUACGUGAAAUUGUUGAAAGGGAAGCGCUUGCAACCAGACCUGUCCGUAGGUGAUCAGCCGCUGUUCUCAGUGGUGCACUCGCUCUGCGAUCAGGCCAGCAUCGGUUCCGGCGGUCGGAUAAAGGCCCUGGGAAUGUAGCUCCCUUCGGGGAGUCUUAUAGCCCUCGGUGCAAUGCGGCCAGCCGGGACCGAGGACCGCGCUUCGGCUAGGAUGCUGGCGUAAUGGUUGUAAGCGACCCGUCUUGAAACACGGACCAAGGAGUCUAACAUCUAUGCAAGUGUUUGGGUGUUAAACCCAUGCGCGGAAUGAAAGUGAACGGAGGUGAGAACCCUUUAGGGCGCAUCAUCGACCGAUCCAGAUGUCUUCGGAUGGAUUUGAGUAUGAGCAUAGCUGUUGGGACCCGAAAGAUGGUGAACUAUGCCUGAAUAGGGUGAAGCCAGAGGAAACUCUGGUGGAGGCUCGCAGCGGUUCUGACGUG